Molecule: ribosomal RNA, 321 nt
Filed under: Triticum aestivum (bread wheat)
Lineage: Eukaryota; Viridiplantae; Streptophyta; Magnoliopsida; Poales; Poaceae
Description: partial small subunit ribosomal RNA
Source: RNAcentral
AUGAAGCUGUAUGUUGCUCUAUGGGAGGAAAGGAACCUGCUUUUCAAGUACAAAGAACGAUAUGAGAAGCAAGCUGGCUACAUUAAUCCGUAUGAACGUGUUGUCAAGCUGGCGAACGAAGCAUGUGCAAGUAAAGAGCAGGAGCACCGCAAAGCGAACUUGUGCUUCCGGCGAAGGCCAACUGCAGAGAUUGAUUUGUCCUUAUUGCUUGGAGGGGAAAUUCUGUUGGUUAAGCAUGAUGAAGAAUUCGGUUGCAAGGCAUUAAUCCAGGAGGGCGGCCAAUUUGAAGCUCCAUGGCCAAAAGAAGCAACAUGGGAGUGA